Molecule: ribosomal RNA, 764 nt
Filed under: Austrochloritis marksandersi
Lineage: Eukaryota; Metazoa; Mollusca; Gastropoda; Stylommatophora; Camaenidae
Description: partial large subunit ribosomal RNA
Rfam family: Bacterial large subunit ribosomal RNA (bases 365-521)
Source: RNAcentral
UAAAUUAAAAAAAUGUAAAUACUAUAACACGAAGUUGAAUGAGCUAAUUAUUGUAUACUAGUAGGAGAUCGAUGUCGCAAAAUCAAAUUAAACCAUAAUUAGGGGUGAUAGGCUUGCCAAAUUCAACGAUAACUUGAUGGUUUAGAAAUGUAUAAGUACGUUUACACUCUUGGAGUGAUAAGGUUUCAAGAAUAAAUAAAAUUUUAAGUAGAGUGUGUAUCUAAUUUAAUCAUAAAUACGGUAAUAUAAUAAUAUAAUGCUGAAAAAAUUGUUUAAAGUAUAAGCCGAUGUCGUGAAUUUUUGAAAUAGUCAUAAUGUUUAUAUUAGUAAAAUAAAGAUAUUUAUAAUGAACUCGGCAACAAGUCUUUCAACUGUUUAUCAAAAACAUAGCUAUAUGAAUAAAUAUAUAUAGUAUUUUCUGCUCAAUGAAUAAUUAAAUAGCCGCAGUACCCUGACUGUGCUAAGGUAGCGCAAUCAAUUGACUUUUAAAUGAAGUCCCGUAUGAAUGAAAAUAUGAAGGGCUACUCUAUCAUAAAUAAUUAAUGAAUUUGCUCAAGGAGUGAAAAUUCUCCUAUAUAAAUAAAAGACGAGAAGACCCUAGAAAUUUAAAGAAAUCACUUUUUGUUGGGGCAACAAAGUAGCUUUUAAUCUACUGUUAUGACACGAAAUCAGUUUUUUGUAAGAUAAAAUUACUCUAGGGAUAACAGCAUAAUUUGAAAAAGUUUGUGACCUCGAUGUUGGAUUAGGGAAUUUACGUUUAGAAG